CACCAAUGCAGCUGUAGUCCUGAUGAACAGGGCUGCAUUUCAUUCCCAAAAGUUGUGUUCUUCCUUCUGCCACCUCACAGAUCUGAUAGGACUGAGUAAGUGAAAGCAAUAUGGUGUAAACUAGGAGGAGCUAUUGCCUAACCUAUCACCACAUCUGGGGAGGGGACAACUUCUUAGAAUGAAAUGCAACCCAGGUCCUUGUUUUGUAAGUGGAGGCGUGUCUUGCUCUCUCAUUGAGUGACAAUCAUUUCAGUGCUUCAUAUUUUCACGGGUCUCAGGUUCCAGGAUCCAGGCCCCUGUUUUUCCACUGGGGGUUUGAGACCAGAGGAGAGGGAAGAAGAGGAGGAGUAUGACGAAGAAGCCAGUGAGGUCCACAGGAUGAUGGUUUAGACCAGAGCUGUGAUCUCACUCCUGCUGACCCCCUACUGAACAGUACUGUACACAGCAGCGUCAGUCUACGCCUCUCACAAGGCUCCCUAGAGAGACUAGACAUCACCAACACGGAGGAAGAGGAGAGGAGCUCGGGUCUAUCUGAGGGGCCAGCUUAUGAUAUGGUUCUAGAGUAUUUGGCUUGCCAGUACCCGAUAUCGUGAGAUAGACUGUGGAUGCCUGACAACCUGCAGCAGAGCCCCCCUGAACCCAGACAGUGAGUGGGAUCUGGGAGGUAGUGUGAGUUUGGCUUGUCUCCUGCUCCUCUGUUGUCAAGACCCAGUCCCAGAGCAUCAUAGACCCUCACCACAUCCCAGAGGACAGUGAGACCAGAGACAGACAGUGGGUUUGGGAGCUCUGAUCUGAGUCGCCCAGCCACAGGACGAUCCCAACCAAAACUUCAUACAGAAAGGCUCCAGUUCCAGUCUGAUGGGGCCUCCAGUCCUGUGAGAAUGAGUGACAGCGAAGGCUCCUGCUCCAACCUGCAGACCACUAUCCAUCUGACUGGGGAUAUUGGAGAGAGGAGACCCAGUCUGCAGACCACUAUCCAUCUGACUGGAGAUAUUGGAGAGAG
Molecule: long non-coding RNA, 1003 nt
Filed under: Salmo salar (Atlantic salmon)
Lineage: Eukaryota; Metazoa; Chordata; Actinopteri; Salmoniformes; Salmonidae
Description: lncRNA (ENSSSAG00000089415.1)
Source: RNAcentral